RNAcentral lists this transfer RNA (84 nucleotides) under Gemmatimonadota bacterium. RNAcentral describes it as "Gemmatimonadetes bacterium tRNA-Leu". The record is from RNAcentral. Lineage: Bacteria; Pseudomonadati; Gemmatimonadota.
GCCCUGGUGGUGAAACUGGUAGACACGCUAUCUUGAGGGGGUAGUGCUCGAAAGGGCGUCGCGGUUCGAAUCCGCGCCAGGGCA